Molecule: ribosomal RNA, 776 nt
Filed under: uncultured Neocallimastigales
Lineage: Eukaryota; Fungi; Neocallimastigomycota; Neocallimastigomycetes; Neocallimastigales
Description: partial large subunit ribosomal RNA
Rfam family: Eukaryotic large subunit ribosomal RNA
Source: RNAcentral
CUAUGUGAUCGUCUCUCGCAUAUCAAUAAGCGGAGGAAAAGAAACUAACAAGGAUUCCCCUAGUAACGGCGAGUGAAGCGGGAAGAGCUCAAAUUUGAAAUCUUAAAGGGUUUCCCUUUACGAAUUGUAGUUUAAAGAAGUGUUUUCUGUUGAGGUUUUGGUAAAAGUUCUUUGGAAUAGGACAUCAUAGAGGGUGAGAAUCCCGUAUUUGACCUUUACUUUCAACUUUGUGAUACACUUUCAAGGAGUCGGAUUGUUUGGGAAUGCAGUCCAAUAUGGGUGGUAAAUUUCAUCUAAAGCUAAAUAUUGGCGAGAGACCGAUAGCGAACAAGUACCGUGAGGGAAAGAUGAAAAGAACUUUGAAAAGAGAGUUAAACAGUACGUGAAAUUGUCAAAAGGGAAGCGUUUGACACCAGUGUUGUUUCUUCUGAAAAUCAAUUAAAGAACUGUUUAUGCUAAGUUGUUUAGACUUUAUCAGCUAACUGUUUAGUUUUGAGCUUUUCUUUAAUGCACUUUUCAGUUAACAAGUCAACAUCAAUUUCUUUUGCUGUAAAAAAGCUUGAGGAAGGUGGCUUGAGAUUCGUCUUAAGUGUUUAUAGCCUCUUGCCUACGCAGUCGGAGAGAUUGAGGUCUGCAGCGUAGAUCCUUCGGGGCUAAAUGCAUUUGUGCUAAGUUAUAGCAUUUUAUAGACAACUUGUUGACUAUGAUUUGUCUUGUAGCUUACUCGCUUAUGUUAUUUUACCUACGCUUAGGAUGUUGAUAUGCAUGACUGAUAU